Molecule: non-coding RNA, 106 nt
Filed under: Symbiodinium sp. clade D
Lineage: Eukaryota; Dinophyceae; Suessiales; Symbiodiniaceae
Source: RNAcentral
AAAAAAAAAAAAAAAAAAAGAAAAGAAAAGAAAAAAAGCAAGAAAAAGAAAACUCUCUCUCUUUCCUCUUUCCCUUCCUCCCCUCUUUCUUUUGUUUUUUUGUUUU